This 468-nucleotide ribosomal RNA is filed under the name uncultured bacterium. Its description in RNAcentral is "partial 16S ribosomal RNA". It matches the Rfam family "Bacterial small subunit ribosomal RNA", at positions 28 to 507 of the family's 1533-position model. The record is from RNAcentral.
GAUGAACGCUGGCGGCGUGCUUAACACAUGCAAGUCGAACGGAAAGGCCAGUGCUUGCACUGGUACUCGAGUGGCGAACGGGUGAGUAACACGUGGGUGAUCUGCCCUGCACUUCGGGAUAAGCCUGGGAAACUGGGUCUAAUACCGGAUAGGACAAUGGUUUGGAUGACGUCGUGGAAAGAUUUUUCGGUGUGGGGUGAGCACGCGGCCUAUCAGCUUGUUUGUGGGGUAUUGGCCUACCAAGGCGGCUCAGGGUGACGGGCCUUAGAGGGUGUGCGGGCGCAUGGGGGACGCGAGACGGCCGCGGCACCGAAUGGGGGCAGAUGUGGGGAAGACUGCACGAGGGGCGCAGCCCUGAUGCAGCGGGGCCGCGUGUGGGAUGACGGCGUUGGGGGUGUAGACUCCUGUCGCUAGGGACGAAGCGUAUUUGUGACGGUACCUGGAGAAGAAGCACCGGCUAACUACGUG